AACGAACGCUGGCGGCAUGCCUAACACAUGCAAGUCGAACGGGAUCCUAGCUUGCUAGGUGAGAGUGGCGGACGGGUGAGUAACACGUGGGAAUCUGCCUUUUUGGUUCGGGAUAACCGCGGGAAACUGCGGCUAAUACCGAAUGCCCUCGAGAGAGGAAAGAUUUAUCGCCAGAAGAGGAGCCCGCGUCCGAUUAGGUAGUUGGUGGGGUAAAGGCCUACCAAGCCGACGAUCGGUAGCUGGUCUGAGAGGAUGAUCAGCCACACUGGGACUGAGAUACGGCCCAGACUCCUACGGGAGGCAGCAGUGGGGAAUAUUGGACAAUGGGGGCAACCCUGAUCCAGCAAUGCCGCGUGAGUGAUGAAGGCCUUAGGGUUGUAAGCUCUUUUGCCAGGGAAGAUGAUGACUGUACCUGGAGAAUAAGCCCGGCUAACUUCGUGCCAGCAGCCACGGUAAU
This 457-nucleotide ribosomal RNA is filed under the name uncultured bacterium. RNAcentral describes it as "bacterial SSU rRNA". It matches the Rfam family "Bacterial small subunit ribosomal RNA", at positions 29 to 524 of the family's 1533-position model. The record is from RNAcentral.